RNAcentral lists this long non-coding RNA (14582 nucleotides) under Malus domestica (apple). RNAcentral's name for it is "long non-coding RNA (MDOM_LNC012425)". The record is from RNAcentral. Lineage: Eukaryota; Viridiplantae; Streptophyta; Magnoliopsida; Rosales; Rosaceae.
UGUGGUAUCUUUUCUGGAAGCAUAAGAUGUUAAAGAUGAGUACUUGAGAGUAAUGCCAGGUAAGUAAUCAGGCAAGGGGUUCCAGGCAGUCAGUUCAUAACUGGAAGCUUGAUUCCAAGUGUUGACUGAUUGCUCUCUUUCUCCUUGUCUUGCAGGUAAGAACAAAGCCAAAGGAAAAACAGGGAAAAAGCAUGAUAUGGGAUACUUUUGCUUUUAACCCUGAUGAUAUGAGAUAUUUUUGCUCUGGUGUGGCUUGUUUGCAGAGGUAUUAUCGGGGGGAAAAUAAGCUGAGUAUUUCGAGAGACUCUGCUGAGAGUGCCCUCUCAGAUGUGAAGAAAAGUUGAGCCUUUUUUUUUUAUUUGCAGGUUUGCCUGGUUAUGGGGGAUGAAGGUCGACAUAUAUAGGAAUUGUCCCAACAGCGAGUGGUAACGCUGUUCCUUUACCCUUCUCGGUCAUAGUAAUGUAGUGGGAGCUACAAGAUUCACGUGUUUUAACUUUGUCAGAGCACUUUGAAAAAGUGGUCUGUGGUAUUUGGAAAGCUGAUGUUGCGUGUGAAGAUUGCAGACAAGCUUUAUCCAAGGAAAUCUAGCUCUCAAAGUUCGGAGAGCGGUGCCUCUUCGGUUUUCGAAUAAGCAAUCUUGUUGGGGAUCUGGCUCUCGAGAUUCGGAGAACGGUGCCUCUUUGAUUUUUGAGAAAGCAAUCCUAACAAUCCUGUUAGGAGUCUGGCUCUUGAGAUUCAAAGAGCGGUGCCGCUUCGAUUUUUAAACAAGUAAUCUUGUUGGGAGUCUGGCUCUCGAGAUUCGGAGAGAUGUGCUUCUUCGAUUUUUGAGCAAGCAAUCUUGUUGGGAGUGUUUUCUCUAAUGUGAGUAAAGGUUGGGCGUUUUUGCCAAUCUACCUUGCCACGGAGCAUGGAGGUUGACACACAUAGGGACUUUCCAGUUAUCAAGCAGUGUGCUGUUCAUUUACCCUUGUGGCUAAUAGUAGGGUAGCUGGACCUUCAAAAUUUAUGUGUCUAAACUUUGUCAGAGAUCUUUGGCAAAGUUAUCUGUGGUACCCGAGGAGCUGAUGUUGCAUGUGGGGAUUGUCGACAUAUUUUACUCAGGAAAAUUUGCUUCUCGAAAUCCGGAAAGUGGUGUCUCUUCGAUUUUUGAACCAACGGCCCUGUUGCCCUUUCUUUUAUAAGGGCACCAAUUGUAUGCAAGAAGUACGUUCAGAGAGUUAUUGCUUGUAGGAAUUUUCCCCUUAUUUUUAUACUUCAGAGAUUUAUUGUACCUCAUUUCUUCUUCAUCAUUUCUAAGAAUGUCUGGCCCAUCCGACCGUCGUUUUGACUUGAACUUUGGUGAAGAGGCAGUCAUGCCCUCUUAUGACAACAUAUGGUGCCCAUCCUUUUUAUCCCCUAUUGGUCAUUUUACAGUUGGGGACUUUGUGAUGAAGAAUGAUAUGACAGAUGCGGUGGUGGCAGGGAACAUUCUCACUCCCAAAGAUAACAGACUACUUUCCAAACGGUCUGAUGAGUUGGUUGUUAAGGAUUAUCUGGCUCUCAGUGUUCAGUGUGCAGGUUCUGUGUUUAAUAUGGCCCAAUGCCUAUUUGCUCGAACCCGCCAAGUUGAAUCAUUGACGGCUGAAGUGAUAAGUCUCAAACAGGAGAUUAGAGGGCUCAAACAUGAGAAUAAACAGUUGCACAUGCUCGCACAUGACUAUGCUAGAAACAUGAAGAGGAAACUUGAUCAGUUGCAGGAAUCUGAUGAUCAGAUUUUACUUGAUCAUCAGAGGUUUGUGGGUUUGUUCCAAAGGCAUUUAUUGCCUUCGCCUUCUGGGGCUGUAUCGCGUAAUGAAGCUCCAAAUGAUCAAUCUUCGGUGCCCCUCCUUCUGGGGUUCUACCCAGUACUGAGGCUCUGAAUGAUCACCCUCCGAUGCCUACUCUUUAUGGGGCUCUGCCGACUGCUGAAACUUCUCCUGAGCAACCUUUGUGAAGGCUCCCUCUUGUUUGUUUAUUUUGAUUCAUGUAUAUGUACAUAUUUGUAACUUAUCGGAGAUAUCAAUAAAUAAGCUUUGCUUCAUUUCAACGUAUUGUGUUAAAUACACCAAAACCUUCUUCACUAAGUUCUUUGAAUUUUUUCUUUUGUUGAAGCUUGUAUGUUGAAGCUUUGUUAAUGAAGCAUGUAUGUUGAGGUAGUGCUCACUUAAUUUUCUGAGUGAGGAAAACUUCUCGGUUGGAGACUUGAAAAGUCCAAGUCACUAAGUGGUCGUGAGACUUUCGAGUAUCAAGGUGCAGUAGCAUAUGGUAGGAGUCCCCCAAGUCUCCGGUCGAGGGAGUUGACGAAUGAGGCAUUUCCUUUCUAAGUGGUAGCCCAAAACUCCUCCUUCAUAUAUAUAUUUGUUUUGAAAGUUGUUAGGCCCAAAGAAAAUAAGGCCUAUGCAAUUUUUUUUUGAAUUUUUUUUUGAAUUUUUUAUUUCUUUCGAAUUUUCAAAUAUUUGAAUUUUCAAAUUUUUGAAAAUAUAUAUAUAUAUAUAUAUAUAUAUAUAUAUUUUUUUUUUUUUUUUUUUAAGUUUUGCAGGUGAAGCUUUGGUGUUGAAGUUUUGUAGGUGAAGCUUUGAGGUUGAAGCUUUGUUGGGUACCAUGAAUUGAUUUAGCUUCACACUAUCUUGAUCAAGAUAGUGUGAAGCUUUUGUAGGUGAAGCUUUUAUGGGUCAAGCUUUUGUGGGUCAAGCUUUUGUGGGUCAAGCUUUUGUAAGUUAAGCUUUUGUGGGUGAAGCUUUUGUGGGUGAAGCUUUUGUAGGUAAAGCUUUUGUGGGUCAAGCUUUUGUAGGUGAAGCUUUUGUGGUGGGUGAAGCUUUUGUAGGUGAAGCUUUUGUGGUGGGUGAAACUUUUCUUGGUGAAGCUUUGCAGGUGAAGCUUUGGAGUUGAAGCUUUUGUUGGGUACCAUGAAUUGAUUUUGCUUCACACUAUCUUGAUCAAGAUAGUGUGAAGCUUUUGAGAAUUUGUUGUUGUCCUCCAUUGAUGAAGCUUUGUUGAAUUUCCCUUUUUUUUUGUUUGGGAAAACUAGAAGUUAGUUGAAUUUCCCAAUUUCCUUUUUUUUUUUUUAGGAAACUAGAAAUUUGUUGAAGAGUGUGUAAAGUUUUUGAGAAUUGUGGUUGCCCUCCAUUGAUGAAGCUCUUGUUGGCACCAAAAAUUGGUUUUGCUUCACACUGUCUUGAUUAAGAGUGUGUGAAGCUUUUGAGAAUUGUGGUGUUUGCAUUGUUACAGAGGGGAAAUGUCUGAAGCAGAUGCAAGAGGGCUGAAUAGCUUGAUCUUCAUAUGCCAUGCACUGAAAUUGUUAGCUUGCAAUAAGACUUUAUUGGUGACUAUAACUCUUGUUGGACAUAAGUGCUCCCCUAGUUGAGUUGUCAAGCUUGAGGGUUUUUGAUUAUUUGUGAAUGCUAGGAGUUCACAUGUACAAGUUGUACCACUCGUCUUCUGGUAGAUGGAAUGAAUGGUGAGUUGCUUCCAUCACUUGGUUGGUGGUACGAAGGUGAGUUCCUUCAUCACUUUUCAUCACAUUUCAUCACCUGGUUGGUGGCACAAGGAUGAGUUCCUUCUUCACCUGGUUGGUGGCAUGAAUGAGAGUACGGGUUGUACAUUUCAUCACUUGGUUGGUGGCAUGAAGAUGAGUUCUUUCUUCACUUGGUUGGUGGCAUGAGUGGCAAGUUGCCAAAUGAUAUUAGAGUAUGGGUUGUACAUUUCAUCACCUGGUUGGUGGCAUGAAGGAGAGUACAGAAUGUACAUUUCAUCACCUGGUUGGUGGCAUGAAGAUGUGUUCCUUCUUUACAUUUCAUCACCUGGUUGGUGAGAAUAAGGGCAAGGUGUCUAGGCACAUUGUAGCAAGUGUCGAAUGACACAAAGUAUGUUGUAUGAUUGAAUGAAUAUACUGUGAAGUUGUUCGUUUAUUUGUAUAGUCUUGUUGACAUAUACUUAGACUUUGUUUCAUGUUGGAAGCAUUCAUGUUGAAGCUUUGAACCUAAGUGUUUCAUUGCUAGGAAUGUAAGAGGAUUAGGACUGAGUUGUCUAAAUCACCUCUUUAUUGAAUUCAUCCAAAUAGUCUUCGCUACAUAGGAUGCCGAACGGCUGAAGUUUAACACUUGUACAAUGUGAGUUUACUUGUAAUAGUACUUCAAGUGAUCAACGUUUCAUGGAUAGCCAAGGGUCUUGCCAUCAGAGCUUCUAAGCUUGUAGGAGCCAGGGCGACUAAUGCCAACAACUUCAAAUGGUCCAUCCCAGUUUGGCCUAAGUGUUCCUUCACUUUGGACUCUAUCACAGAGUAAUCUUUUCUUCAAUACCCAGUCCCUCACUUUGAAAGAACGAGGUUUGACCCUUGAGUCAUAGUAGUUGGAGAUGCGGUGCUUGCAGGUGACAUUCCUCAAGUGAGCCUGGUUUUUGUGUUCCUCGACUAGAUCUAAGUUAAGGGUAAGUUGUUUGUCAUUUUCGCUUUGCAAGUAGUUCUGGACUCGGAACGUUGCUUGCUGAAGCUCAACUGGGACAACUACCUCUGUACCAAAGGUAAGUGAGAAUGGGGUUUCUCCUGUUGAUGUCCGAUACGAGGUGCGGUAUGACCAAAGAACUUUGGGUACAAAUUCCGGCCAACAACCUUUAGCCUUGUCCAAGCUGGUUUUCAAAGUUUGCUUGAUUAUUUUGUUGAUGGCUUCGACUUGUCUAUUAGACUGAAGAUGAGCUGGGGAGGCAAAACAUAAGUUGAUGUUUAACUUAGAGCAGAACAUCCUGAACUUAUUGUUGUCGAAUUGUCGCCCGUUGUCAGUGACUAUCGCAUUGGGAAUGCUGAAUCUGCAAAUGAUUCCAUACGAAGUCUUUUAUUUUUGCCUCACUAAUGGUUGCCAAAGGUUCUGCUUCGGCCCACUUUAUGAAGUAGUCAACUACAACGAUUGCAUAGCGAACCUUUCCCUUCCCUGCAGGCAUUGGGCCGAUCAAAUCAAGUCCCCAUUGGGCGAAGGGCCAAGGGCUGAUCAUAGGAGUGAGCGACUCGGGAUAGGAGUGAGGAAUAGUUAUGUAACGUUGACACUUAUCACAUGAGCGGGAUAUUCUGAUGGCAUCUCUUGGUGGACUGUUGGCCAGUUAUAUCUUUGGCGAAAAGCCUUGUGUGCUAGGGAUCGAGAUCCAGCAUGACCUCCGUAGACUUCUUCAUGUAUUUCCCGAAUGACAGUUUUCGCCUCUGCGGGCGUAAGGCAUCUUAGGUAUGGUAGGUUAAAACCCCGCUUGUAGAGUUGGUCAUUAAUGAUCAAGUAACGGGUAGCCUUGUAUCAAAUGUGCUUAGCUUGGACUUUGUCAUUUGGAAGGGUGCCAUGAGCAAGGAAUCUAUAAAUGAGGGUAAUCUAACCAUCCCCUUGUUGUAAGUUGCACACUUCCGCAGCCAUGGGGCGUGGUGCUUCCAACAAUUCGACCUGAAUUUUUCUCCCAAUCUUGUCUUCCACCGCUGAGGUGAGGCGAGCCAAAGUAUCUGCAUGAUUGUUUACCGCUCGAGGAAUUUGGGUGAUCUGGUAAUGGAAGUGCUGGAGCAACAAUUAUGUUUGUGCCAGAUAUGCUGCAAUGGAGCUAUCCUUAGCUCAAAGUUAUUGGUGACCUGGUUAACCACCAAUUAGGAGUCACUGAAGAUAUCAAUUCGUUUAACCCCAAGGUGUUUGGCCAAACGUAAGCCUACCAGGAAGGCUUCACAUUCGGCCUUAUUGUUCGACGCCUUGAAUUUGAAACGAAGAGCAUACUUCAUUGCCACUUUGUCAGGGGUCGUAAGGACUAGUCCUGCUCUAUAACCCUGUGGUUGGAUGAACCAUCAACAUAUAUACUCCAUGCUGAGGCUGUUAGUUCUAUUUUUUGAGCUUCCGAAGGUAAUGAAACCACUUCUUUAGGCGUAGAAACAAUGUCAACAGGAUAUGUGAAGUCGACGAUGAAGUUUGCCACUACUUUGCCCUUCUCAGCUGGCUUUGGUUGGUAGGAGAUGUCAAACUCACCUAAUGCUAUCGCCCAUUUGAUCAUUCGCUCGGAAGUGUUAGGACUUUGGAGUAUCUGUCGAAGAGGAUGAUUGGUAAACACGAUGAUGAAGUGUGCUUGGAAGCAAGGGCGAAGUUUUCAAGCAGACAUGACCAAUGCUAGAGCCAAUUUCUCAAUGUUGGAGUAUCGUGUCAUUGCAUCUUGUAAGGCCUUGCUAGCGUAGCAGACAGGCUGUUCGACAUUACCAUUCUUUCGAAUGAGAACAUAACUUAUUGCUGAAGCCGAUACAGAUAGAUAAUGAGAGUGUCACCAAGCUCAAGUUUGGAGAGCAGAUGGGCUUUACUCAUGUAGUCUUUGAGAUUCUUGAAUGCCUCAGCACAUUUAUCAGUUCAUGUAAUGUACUUCUUACUUCCCUUAAGUGCUUUGAAGAAAGGAGAACAUCUGUCUGUGGCCUUAAAGAUGAACCUAGUUAAGGCUGCCACCUUACCAGUAAGGCUCUGGAUGUCUUUUGAAGUUACCGGUUCCUUCAUGUCGAGGAUUGCUUUGAUUUUCUCAGGAUUAGCCUCAAUGCCUCGUUGGCUUAUCAUGAAGCCUAAGAAUUUGCCAGAGCCUACGCCGAAGACACAUUUGUUGGGGUUUAACCUCAUUCGAUACCUUUUCAGAAUGGUGAAAGUUUCAGAUAGGUUGGUGAUGUGUUGGUCAGCAUGUUUGCUCUUGACUAGCAUAUUAUCAACGUAAACUUCCAUGCUUUUACCAAUAUGUUUGGCGAACAUUGAAUUGACCAGUCUUUGAUAAGUUGCUCCUGCAUUCUUUAGGCUGAAAGGCUUGACUUUAUAGCGAUAUAGUUCCCUGUCAUUAGUGAAGGCUGUGUGUUCUUGGUCUGGAGGGUUCAUGAGGAUUUGGUUGUAUCCCGAGUAAGCAUCCAUGAAGCUCAGAAGUUCACACCCUGCCGUAGAGUCUAUAAGUCUGUCUAUGAGAAGAAGAGGAAAGCUAUCCUUCGGGCAUCCUUUGUUUUGGUCGGUGUAAUCGACACACAUUCUCCACAAGACCUUUUGGAGCAGGAGACUUUCCUUGGUCGGAUUCUUCUUAACAAGGACAACAUUUGCUACCCACGUUGGAUAAUUGACUUCGCGGACAAAGACUAUGCCUUUGAGUUUUUCAACUUUUACCUUCAUUGCCUCGUACCGUUUAACGUCAUAAGAUCUUCGCUUCUAUCUCACUGGCUUGGUUUUUGGGUCAAUACUUAAGCAAUGACAGGUGAUAUCGGGAGAGAUGCCUGGCAUGUCCUCGUAUGACCAACCAAAUGGGUGGUGACAAGGUGGUGCCAAUUUCACCAGCGAUCCGAAUAAUCUUUUGAGAUAUAGACCUUAUCCAACUCUUUAAUGGGUUGUGCUUGCUGGGUGAAGGAGUCAUCUUGAGGUUCAUCGGGUUGACUGUUGCCACCCUGAAGAUCCUAGUUGGCUUCAUCUGGGCUAGUCUUUAUGACUUAAUUAUGUAUAUAAAGGGUUUCAUUGGGGUAGGUGUUGUUGCUUGACCGAAGUGUUAUAACAUGAUCGUGCACUAAGUUGAUCUCAUCUGAUGUAACCAUUGCUAUAGGGGGUUGGAAAUUUCAUCAACAACAUAUGUGUGGAUACCAUGGCCUUGAGAUCAUUGAUGCCUGUGCAUCCGAAGAUGACAUUGUAUGUCAUUGGGCAAUCAACCACUAGGAAGUUAGUGGUAAUGGUAGCUGUGUAAGGGCCUGUGCCAAUGGUGAAAGGUAAGUGUAUGCUCCCCAAAGGUUGCAUGAUAUCACCGGAUACGCUUAUCAGAUGGGAAAUUAAGCGAUCAAGCAAGGGUUCAGCUACAUUAAGUGCCCUGAAAGCUUCAGCAAACAUGAUAUUGACUGAAUCCCCCGUGUCUACCAGGAUUCAUUGUACUUCAAAGUUGGCUAUGUGAGCUUCCACGAUCAGUGGGUCAUUGUGAGGGUAGAUGAUACCUCUUUCUUCCUUAGGGUAGAAACAUAUUGGAUCCCAGUUAGGCUUUUGAUACUUACUUCCCCUGAUGGCUUCCAUGUGAAACACUUGGUGGCCAGACCUUAAAGCUCGUUCACUAUUUUUCAUGGCCCUGUUGGAAGAUUUAGAUAUGGGUGUGCCACCACUUAUGGAAUUUAUCACAUUCACCUGGCGUUGGUUACGGUUUCCCCUUGGAGAGUGAAUGAGGAAUUGAUCAAAUUUUCCUUCACAUGCCAAAGCUUUAAUAUGAUCACGAAGGGUGAUACAUUUCUCUCCAUCAUGGCCGUUAUGCUCGUGGUAGCAGCAAAACGUGCCUGUGUUCUUCGUGGGCUUGUAAUCCGGGUGCCUUGGCUUUGGCUUCAGUAUCAGGUGUGCUAUGCUGGGGUAAAUAGCCACGCAUGUGGUUUUCAAAGGUGUGCAUGCGUCAUACCUCGGGGUAGGAGUUGUCCUGACACGUGCUUGAUCCACUGUGUUGACUGCCUGGGGUCAGGGAUUAUCAUGGCGAUACCCUUGGUUAUCGUGGUAGUGUCCCUUACUCAUUUUACUAAAAUGAGACUGGUGAGGAUGAAAAUCUUUCCUUUUGCCCUGAGAUUGAUAUGUCUGUUGACUUAGCAAAGUAUUAAGUAUGGCAGGGGGAGGCACCGCUGCCGUUUGGAAGGUUGAGGUCUUCUCAUUUGGUUGGAUCUGGCUUUCAUUCCCUAUUUGCUGAUAAGGGGUGGCUGUGGGGGGUUUCCCUUGAUAUGUCUUUGCCUCGGCGGAGGCAUGGUUGUAAGCCUGUGCCAUCACCUCAGAGUAAGUCUUCCAAGUGUUGGCAUUAAUCAUGUACUUGAAGAAACAAUCACGUAGGCCUUGAAGGCGGUCUUGUCAUCUGCCUCAGCGCAGCAAGAAUACUGAUGGCUGAAAUGACUGGCAUACUCUCGUUGUGACUCAUCCGACUUUUGGCAAAUAGUGUACAAAUCCUCUGCAGAAUGCAAGCGAUCGGUCUAGAAGAUGUGUUGAUGGACAAACAGUUUCCUCAGUUCCUUAAAUGAGUCUACUAUCUCAGGUGGAAGACUGCAAUACCAGUUUAAAGCUCUGCCAGAGAGGGUGGAGGUGAAGAGAAGACAUCGCUCUUCGUCGGUAUGCAUCCGAUAUGCCAUGGUGGACUCAAAGAGGUUAAGGUGUUCAAUUGGGUCAUCCCUUCCAGUAUAGAGUUAUAAACCAAGCUUUUAUUUUAUCUUUGCUUGAAGAGGGGUGUCGAGGAUCCUCCUUGUGAGAGGGCCAGGCUUGGGUUGGUUCUAGUCAGGUAUCUUGGCCUGAUGUUUGGCCUUCAACUUGUUUACUUCCUCAAGGAGCUGUAGGACAAGGGGGUCCUGAGUGGAGUCGUGUACCAUUGGGAUUUUCUUUCGUAAGUCUCCAUCGCCUUUUAGAAGUAGGAAAGUUUGAGCAAAGGCGUGUGAUUUUUCCUUGGACUCGCCGUAUUGACUUAUAGGGCAAGUCUAUCGGAAUACCUCAGAGUCCCCUGUACCUUCAUAUUCCUUUGGGACCUGUCGUUCGUUCCCUAGAUUGGUAGCUGGCCUGAGUCGCGGGAGGGGAUCGAGUCUUUCAGAAACCCUUGGGUCAUUGAUCUUCGAACAUAUGCGGAAAGGAUUAUCUCGACGUUGCUUUAGGAAGUCUCGGCAGUCACGAUAAACGGUUUUCAAUUUUUCCAACCUUUCUGUAAGGAGGUGUCUUCGUCCACUUCUUCUGCUUCAGGUCGAAGCAGCUGGGUUGAGAGAAGUCUCAUGUUGAUCAAUGUUUUGAUGAUUAGCUCGCUCCUCAUUAGGGAUACCCAUGUCGAAGGAAGGUGACCCUCCAUGUUGGGGGCACCCAGAUGAUGGUUAAUGUCCAUAGGGGCAACGAGCUCGUGUGUUUGAGUACGCCUAGUUUCGUGGAACGUCUCAAAGAGCUUCUCAUAGUGCUCCUGGAAGACCUCAUUCUUCAUUGCUAUCUUGUUUUUCUGAGCUUCUAGCUCAUCGACUUUAGCUUCAAGAGUAACCCUCUUUCCUUCAUUCUUUCGUUGCUUCGCACUAGGUGUAAGAGGGGUGUCAUUCUGUAUGUUGUGGCUUCCUUCGCUCCCUAUGUUGGAGAGGGAUGCCUGGUAAAAAGAGAGUGUACGAAUGGUGGAAACCAGCUUGACAAAGCUGAAGAGAGUGAGAAUAAGUGUCGUUCCCACAGACGGCGCACAAUAUUGAUGCACAAAAUCAAUGAGGACUUAGGUACAACCGAAAGUGUUAAGUUUGUGACCUUCACUAGAUUGCUCCGGUCAUUGGUGUGGAUAAGUACGUAAAUGGAUAGAGACAGGGAAGUGAACACAAGAUGUACGUGGUUCAUCCAGAUUUGUUACGUCCACGGAGUAGAGGAGUUCUCAUUAAUUGUGAAGGGUUUACACAAGUACAUAGGUUCAAGCUCUCGUUUAGUGAGUACUAGUGAAUGAUUUAGUACAAAUGACAUUUGGAAAUAUUGUGAAAGAAUGAUCUCUAUUUAUAGAAGAGAGUUUCUAGUUUCAUUCUGACAUUGACACGUGUCGUGUUGUGAUUGGCUUCUGAUGUUGACAUGUGUCGCACUAUGAUUGGCUUCUGAUGUCGACACGUGUCGCGCUGUGAUUAGCCUCUUGGUUGGAGGGAAACUCUUCUGGGUCGUUGAUGGUAUAACGUUGAUCGGUGCUCAGUAGUUUCAAGAUUGGUCAAGUAUGGUACAAACAUAACCGAAUGAAAAAAAUAAGGAAAAUAUUCUAGUUGGGGCCCUAAUCCCGUGAAAAGUCUUCAGAAAUAAAAGGAAUAACUCUAGUUUUUUGCAUGAAAAAAAAAAUUCAAGGUAGGCCCGAGACCAUUUUGGUCAUUUGACGGCUCCGUUCAUGAACAAAGACUUAAGCCUCAUGCGCCCACAAGGUGGCUGCGGAGGGGGUUACGCCAAUGGAUCUCCGAUGCCUAAGUUAGUUUCUCUGAAAAGAGUAUGUGUUUAGGGCUUUUAGGGGUAGCAAAAACUUACCUAAAUUUGGUAAAGAUGGACCUAUUGGCCAUGGUUUAUAGAGAGAAUAUUCUCAAGAUAUUAAAUAGGAAAUAAUAUUUUGAGAUAAUGGUGUAAAUAUCCCCAAUUGAUUGAAAUAUGGAUUACUUACUUGAAGGAUUUGGGUAAUUAUCCUUAUCUUUAAUGAUUUGACUUUUCCUUGUCAUGGGCAGGUGAGUUGUGGACAGUCGUAUUCAACCACAUGGACCUUUAGGAAGUAUCUGAAAAACGUGCCCAUUAAUGAGGGCAAUCUUGUCUUUCUUGAGCAAAAGUCCAAGUGUCGCCUCUAGGAUUUUUGGGAUUUUUUUAGGCUCCACAAAUGCCCUCACACUUGCUGGGCUACACGUAGAAAAAGGGAAGUAGGUGUAGAAGUCCCAAACCGCCUAGUUAUGUAAAUAGUUGUUUCCCAAUUUGAUGUAGAUCUCCUUAUUUGACUUGGAGAUAGACUCUUCUAGGAAAAGGAAACCAAUUGCCCUCAAUACCUAUAUAAUUUUGUCGUAAGCAAGGGAUUAAAUAAAUUUGGAGAACAAUUUUUAUCCUUACAAGGAAGAGAGAAGCCAUAGGAAAUUUGUUUCCCCUUCCCCUAGCUCUCUUUUUCUCUUGCCUUUGCAAAGAGUCGUUUCUCGUUGUUGUUCUUCUUGUCUGUGCCAUACCAAGGUAAGAAAAAAAAAUAAUUUUCAUUCUUCUUAAUUUUCUAGAGCCUCAAGGCUUGAAAAUUUGGCUUGGCAAGGGUCGAUGAGGUGUGAGAAAAGUGGCAGGGAUGCCACGGUGCUCCAAGGAGCAGCUCAGGCAGUUGGCAGCGCGGCACGAUGACUGGUUGGCAUAGGUUAUGAGCUCGGCUAGGCUUGGGCAGAGGUGGCAGACUCACUGGGUGAAGAGCAACAAAGAGGCCAACUCAGGUUGGGCCUCUACGGCUGCUAGGUACCUGCCCGUGCAGGCGAAGAAAGAAUGAGGUACUGGUCUUCUGCUGGCGAGUUGGGCCGAGAGGCGUUGGGCCUCCCUGGGCAUACACGAGAGUGAAGAGAGGUGAGAAGAGGGCUGGGCCUUCCGUGACCUGGCUGAGAUGGUGAAUUAGGCCGUGGGGCCUGGCUCGAGUGUGCUGGGCUCUGUUGUCCUCUUCUUUUUCUUGCGAUUUGCCUUUUGAAUAUUUUUUUUCUUCGUAUUUUUUGUAGAAAUUUUGAGAUGUCUUCCUCCAAUCACAAAAUUGAUAAAUAGCCUCCAUCUUUGUAUUGCCAAUGUGGUUUCUUCGGCAAGGUAGAUUACUUCAAAGUUGCUCAGUCCUCUUUGUCAAGAAAAAGACGGACUGCCUCUGCAAGAAGAAGUUAAGUGGACAAAGGAUGAUGCAUUUGCUCAUCUGAUUGUUGUCGUGGAGCCUGCUGCCAAUGAGGGUGGACAAAAAAAGAUCUUCCUCACUUGCUAGUGAGUCGUUGGCUAAAAAGAAACCAAAGACUUCUUUGUCUUUUCGUGGGGGCUCGUUUACUACUAAAAAGCUUGUUAUUGAUUUGACUUUUUCCAAGGGGAAGAAAAGACUGUUGAGUUUGAGCCUAUAAAGCCUGCUGCUCUGAAUGUGGCCACGACCAUUGAUGAGAAGAUUGCCCAGUGUAAGGGUUCAAUGGUGCCUUCAGUGUUUAGGUUUGUAUCGAAACCCGCAUCUAGAGCUAAAUCCAGUUCGGCUUCUGAGAGGUUCACCGUUAUGAGGAAUAGGAAGGUGGAUUCUGUUGCUAAAGUGGUGCCAUGGAGUUUUUUCCUAUUGUUACGACUGAUUCGUUUGCUGAGAAGGAGAAGUCUACUCACAUGGUUAAUUGUGAAAAGUCCAUCGGGUUUGUUUAUGAGGAAUUUCCCGAGAUUUAAGUGUUGUUGAAGGCUCACCUUCUUAAUAACGUCGAUGCAUGUGCCAAGUUUGUUGAUAAUGUCGAGAAGGUAAUCCGCUAGGACUCUUUUGAAAGCGUUCUACCUACUCGAGAAAGUCCUUCAUGCUUGCAACUAUGCAGAAGACUUUAAUCUUGGCUAUUGAGUCUAUGCGCAUUGAUCAUGAUGCUUCUAUGGAUGCUAAGGAGGUCGAAGUGGUGCUAAUGACGCAGCUUCGCGUAGCUUCUAAAAAAUUUGAGAAACUCAAAUAUGAGCUAGCCAUUUUGAAGGGGUCAGAUGUUUCUUCCACCACUUUUGUGCGGUUGCAAUGAAGGAAGUCAAUUGCUUUGCACUGGUGGUCCAGGACAUUGAGCAUGCCAAUUCAAAGCUAUGGUUUGCUUGUUUUGCCAAUGAUGAUGAGCUUAUAUUUAUGCAUGGUGAAGUUUCUUAUCUCAAGGAUGUUGCCAGUAAGCUUGAGCCCAAGAAAGUGAAUCUGCAAGGUGCGCUGUCUGCUAGUGAGAGCCUGAAGAAUGAACUGGAUAAGCUGCAAGUGCUCACACUAAGCUUGCUGAGGAGAAUGCAUGGCUGAAGAAUGAGAGGUGUUGAUGCACAAAAUCAGUGAGGACUUUGGUACAACAGAAAGUGUCAAGUUUGUGACAUUCGCUAGAUUGCUCCGGUCACUAGUAUGGAUAAGUAUGCAAAUGGAUAGAGACAGGGAAGCAGACACAAGAUGUACGUGGUUCACCCAGAUUGGCUACGUACAUAAAGGAGAGGAGUUUUCAUUAAUUGUGAAGGGUUUACACAAGUCGCCAAGCUAGGAGAUCUGCCGAAAGAUGUGACAGACAAGGUAAGCAAUUAGAGCUCCAAGCAAUCAGUCCCAGAUCAGAAGUUUGAUUUUGAAUUCCGGCUAAUUGUUCUCAUUCUCCCUAUCUUGCAGGUAGCAUAAAGGAUAAAAAGAAGAAAAGGGAGAAGAGAUGAUAUGAGAUACUUUGCUUUUGAAGAAGUAACUUUCCACAUGCUUAUUCUUGAACUGGGUUGAAGGGUUUUCUAGUUUCCUCCAGAGUAUAAGGCCGACUCAAGAAUUUGAGGGUCAAAACAAGUCCAUCAAAUCUAGAGUAUGUUCGACCCUGAUGAUAUGGGAUACUUUUGUUGUUGACAAAGUAGUGGAUGUAUCGGCAUAUGUUCUGUUAAGCUUGUCUCCACAUGAUUCCUUGUAUCCUUCUUACUUGCCCUAUCUGUUCCUCAGGCAGAUGUGGUAUAUUAUCUCGAAGCAUAAGAUGUUGAAGAUGAGUACUCGAGAGUAAUCCCAGGUAAGUAAUCAGGCAAGGGGUUCCAGGUAGUCAGUUUCUGACUGGAAGUUUGAUUCCAAGUGCUGAUCGAUUGCUUUCUUUCUCCUUGUCUUGCAGGUAAGAAUAAGGCCAAAGGAAAAGACAGGGAAAAAGCAUGAUAUGAGAUACUCUUGCUUUUAACCUUGAUGAUAUGAGAUACUCUUGCUCUAGGGGAAAACAAGCUGAGUAUUUCGAGAGACUCUGCUCAGAGUGCCCUCUCGGACGUGAAGAAAGGUUGAGCAUUUUUUUUUAUUUGCAGAUCUACCUGGCUGUGGAGGAUAAAGGUCGACAUAUAUAGGAAUUGUCCUAAAAGCGAGUGGUAACGCUAUUCCUUUACCCUUCUCGGCCAUAACAAUGUAGUGGGAGCUGUAAGAUUCACGUGUUUUAACUUUGUCAGAGCACUUUGAAAAA